GACGAACGCUGGCGGCGUGCUUAACACAUGCAAGUCGAACGGAAAGGCCCUGCUUUUGUGGGGUGCUCGAGUGGCGAACGGGUGAGUAACACGUGAGUAACCUGCCCUUGACUUUGGGAUAACUUCAGGAAACUGGGGCUAAUACCGGAUAGGAGCUCCUGCUGCAUGGUGGGGGUUGGAAAGUUUCGGCGGUUGGGGAUGGACUCGCGGCUUAUCAGCUUGUUGGUGGGGUAGUGGCUUACCAAGGCUUUGACGGGUAGCCGGCCGGAGAGGGUGGACGGGCACCUUGGGCCUGCGAUACGGCGCAGACUCCUACGGUAGGCAGCAGUGGCGAAUAUUGCACAAUGGGCGGAAGCCUGAUGCAGCAACGCCGCGUGCGGGAUGACGGCCUUCGGGUUGUAAACCGCUUUCGCCUGUGACGAAGCGUGAGUGACGGUAAUGGGUAAAGAAGCACCGGCUAACUACGUG
This 468-nucleotide ribosomal RNA is filed under the name uncultured bacterium. RNAcentral's name for it is "partial 16S ribosomal RNA". It matches the Rfam family "Bacterial small subunit ribosomal RNA", at positions 28 to 507 of the family's 1533-position model. The record is from RNAcentral.